This 34-nucleotide ribosomal RNA is filed under the name Psilocybe thaizapoteca. Its description in RNAcentral is "partial 28S ribosomal RNA". Lineage: Eukaryota; Fungi; Basidiomycota; Agaricomycetes; Agaricales; Agrocybaceae. The record is from RNAcentral.
AUUGUACUGCUUCUAACCGUCCUUUCAUGGACAA